Molecule: long non-coding RNA, 442 nt
Organism: Monodelphis domestica (gray short-tailed opossum)
Lineage: Eukaryota; Metazoa; Chordata; Mammalia; Didelphimorphia; Didelphidae
Source: RefSeq, a predicted model, not a curated record
GGGCCUUCAACUCAUAACAAGUCUACAGAAAUAAGUUCAGUGUCUUUGAUAAGAAAAGAGAGGGAGUAGCGUGACACAGUGGGUAGAGAGAUAGCACUGAAGCCCAGAAAACAUGAGUUUGAAUCCAUACUGGCUGAGUGACCCUGGACAAGUCUCUUUCCCUUUCAGUGCCUCAGGAGUUAUUCUGAGAACUGGCUGCUAAUGAAUGCUCAAGGUACAAGGCACUGCUAGAACCACUGCUGCCCAGAAAGGAGAGAAGAGGGAAGCCUUGGAACUCCUUGGAGGUCUCAUACAACUAAACUCAUCCCCAAAGAUCUCUCUCCCAUGAUGUGGAUGUUGUUUCUUCUCAGGAGAAUGAGAAUCUUGCACUAGGAAAGAGAUCAUGAGUGAACUCACCAAGGAUGGAGUAUCACAGAUGGACAAUUAAAAUGCAAUCCCAGAG